UCAGCACAGAGCCCGACGUGGGGCUCGAACCCACGAGCCGUGAGAAUAUGACCUGAGCUGAAGUCGGAUGCUUAACGGACUGAGCCACCUAGGUGUCCUUCUAGAAACUGUAGGAGCAAGUAGCAUCCGGGAGGCCGCCUUCCUGGGCAGGGGUGGGGCCUCUGGAUGUUCAAGCUGUUGAGGAAAGGACUUCAGGAAACUACAGGGGUCUCCACUGGUUUCCUGAACAACCCAGGGGGACAACAGCACACUGAAACUAGCACUUUCCCAAGGACAUAGCGAAAUGCAGAGCGCUCUGAAGAACUGGGAACUGGGACUCAAAAUCCAUCAUAACCUCAGACGGAGGCGUGGCUGGUGUCCGGGGUUCCUGUUCCAGGUCUAUCUCCCGACUCCUUGCUUCUGAAAGGAGCGAGAACUCAUUGGCGAUGCAAACUGACCUCACUACUUUUCUUUCUUCCUUUUUUAAAAAGGAACUGAGAGUUGAAGACAGUUUAAUUGUUCCACAGAUGCUUCUGAAUUGACCAGAAACUGUGUGUGUUGGGGCGUCUGCUAACCGUAGGCAUCCGUAGUGUGUCAGGUGGCAGUCUGGAUGGUCCAAUCUCAUCAUCUCCAGUCCAUCACCAUCCAAGAACCACAGAGGGGCAGGUCCAGUGUCUACCUCGAGCUUGGACUCAACAUCCCGGGGGACACCCCGCUGGUCACAGAGACCACCCAGAACCCAACUGCUAAACGGUCUGUCAGAUAAUGAAAAGGACAGAAACUCCUUUGAACUUUGAAGCUGGACUUAAAACAAAGGGUGAAACAG
Felis catus (domestic cat) is the source of this 805-nucleotide long non-coding RNA. RefSeq lists it as uncharacterized. The transcript has 3 exons. Lineage: Eukaryota; Metazoa; Chordata; Mammalia; Carnivora; Felidae. The record is from RefSeq and is a predicted model, not a curated record.